UACGGAGGGUGCAAACGUUGCUCGGAAUCAUUGGGCGUAAAGCGCACGUAGGCGGCCUGUUAAGUCGGGUGUGAAAUCCCUCGGCUCAACCGAGGAAGUGCAUUCGAAACUGGCAGGCUUGAAUGUGGAAGAGGGUCGUGGAAUUCCCGGUGUAGAGGUGAAAUUCGUAGAUAUCGGGAGGAACACCAGUGGCGAAGGCGGCGACCUGGGCCAAUAUUGACGCUGAGGCACGAAAGCUAGGGGAGCAAACAGG
This 253-nucleotide ribosomal RNA is filed under the name uncultured bacterium. Its description in RNAcentral is "partial 16S ribosomal RNA". It matches the Rfam family "Bacterial small subunit ribosomal RNA", at positions 524 to 776 of the family's 1533-position model. The record is from RNAcentral.